RNAcentral lists this ribosomal RNA (1087 nucleotides) under Microbacterium sp.BB30. Its description in RNAcentral is "bacterial SSU rRNA". It matches the Rfam family "Bacterial small subunit ribosomal RNA", at positions 29 to 1127 of the family's 1533-position model. Lineage: Bacteria; Bacillati; Actinomycetota; Actinomycetes; Micrococcales; Microbacteriaceae. The record is from RNAcentral.
AUGAACGCUGGCGGCGUGCUUAACACAUGCAAGUCGAACGGUGAAGCAGAGCUUGCUCUGUGGAUCAGUGGCGAACGGGUGAGUAACACGUGAGCAAUCUGCCCCUGACUCUGGGAUAAGCGCUGGAAACGGCGUCUAAUACCGGAUACGAGCUGCGAAGGCAUCUUCAGCAGCUGGAAAGAAUUUCGGUCAGGGAUGAGCUCGCGGCCUAUCAGCUUGUUGGUGAGGUAACGGCUCACCAAGGCGUCGACGGGUAGCCGGCCUGAGAGGGUGACCGGCCACACUGGGACUGAGACACGGCCCAGACUCCUACGGGAGGCAGCAGUGGGGAAUAUUGCACAAUGGGCGAAAGCCUGAUGCAGCAACGCCGCGUGAGGGACGACGGCCUUCGGGUUGUAAACCUCUUUUAGCAGGAAAGAAGCGAAAGUGACGGUACCUGCAGAAAAAGCGCCGGCUAACUACGUGCCAGCAGCCGCGGUAAUACGUAGGGCGCAAGCGUUAUCCGGAAUUAUUGGGCGUAAAGAGCUCGUAGGCGGUCUGUCGCGUCUGCUGUGAAAACCCGAGGCUCAACCUCGGGCCUGCAGUGGGUACGGGCAGACUAGAGUGCGGUAGGGGAGAUUGGAAUUCCUGGUGUAGCGGUGGAAUGCGCAGAUAUCAGGAGGAACACCGAUGGCGAAGGCAGAUCUCUGGGCCGUAACUGACGCUGAGGAGCGAAAGGGUGGGGAGCAAACAGGCUUAGAUACCCUGGUAGUCCACCCCGUAAACGUUGGGAACUAGUUGUGGGGUCCAUUCCACGGAUUCCGUGACGCAGCUAACGCAUUAAGUUCCCCGCCUGGGGAGUACGGCCGCAAGGCUAAAACUCAAAGGAAUUGACGGGGACCCGCACAAGCGGCGGAGCAUGCGGAUUAAUUCGAUGCAACGCGAAGAACCUUACCAAGGCUUGACAUAUACGAGAACGCUGCAGAAAUGUAGAACUCUUUGGACACUCGUAAACAGGUGGUGCAUGGUUGUCGUCAGCUCGUGUCGUGAGAUGUUGGGUUAAGUUCCCGCAACGAGCGCAACCCUCGUUCUAUGUUGCCAGCACGUA